UCAGUAUGCACAUUCCUCAAUUCAAACUCUUCUAUCCUUCUAGCCAUAGAUGCUAGCUUUGCCUUCAUGCUCAUGUCUUCAUUCAAAACAUACUUACUACCCCAUUGGCUUUGUUGAACUUGCCUUUUCCCUAACUCAAUCCGAUCCCUCAUGGAUAGGUAUGCAAAUUUGUCCUUCUCAUGAUCAUAAUGAGAGCUUUGAUCUUCAUGUGGAAUUUCCAUUUCUAAAAAAAAUGAUAUUCAACUAAGGCUCUUUUCUUCAACUUGUACCAGGGUUCCCUCUUGGUCUCGAAUCCAAC
Molecule: long non-coding RNA, 298 nt
Filed under: Vitis vinifera (wine grape)
Lineage: Eukaryota; Viridiplantae; Streptophyta; Magnoliopsida; Vitales; Vitaceae
Description: long non-coding RNA (VVIN_LNC000496)
Source: RNAcentral